RNAcentral lists this ribosomal RNA (151 nucleotides) under uncultured bacterium. RNAcentral's name for it is "partial 16S ribosomal RNA". It matches the Rfam family "Bacterial small subunit ribosomal RNA", at positions 363 to 507 of the family's 1533-position model. The record is from RNAcentral.
UUUUCACAAUGGGCGCAAGCCUGAUGGAGCGACGCCGCGUGGGGGAUGAAGGGUUUCGAUCCGUAAACCCCUGUCAUUUGCGAACAAACCUUACCGAUGAAUAGUCGGUGAGCUGAUUGUAGCGAAAGAGGAAGGGACGGCUAACUCUGUG